Molecule: long non-coding RNA, 1805 nt
Organism: Lolium perenne
Lineage: Eukaryota; Viridiplantae; Streptophyta; Magnoliopsida; Poales; Poaceae
Source: RefSeq, a predicted model, not a curated record
ACUACUUAAAAAGGAGGAACAUGUUCCUUAUUCUGCCAAUACGUCAACGAUUUCGUCGUCCGGCUUCGUUCGACGCGCGAGCACGCACGUGGGCCAAAGCCCAACAAAAUCCACAUACUCUUUCGUCUGUUCAGCCGUCUCUCGGUUGGUCCCGAGGGAACCCAAACCCUAUCUCCCCCUCGAUCCCUAUCUCCACCGCGCCCUGGAUCCCCAAGUCCGCCGCCGCCCCUGCCAGGGAUGGAGCCGGACGAGGACGGCGGAGAUGGCAGGCCACUGUUCCUCUAACAUUCCUUCCUCCUCCAUUCUCCUCUCGCGAUCCCGGCCGUGCCCAUCUCUCUUCGCGAUCUAUUCUUCUGCUAAACACCAUCAUCCAAUUCGCAAGGCCACGGGUUGUUCCCCACUCUGCAGCUCCUCCUCUUCGCUAACUCUGCCCGCGACGGACGGCUCCAGAGAAAAAGAGGAUGAGGAGUAGUGCCCCACUGCCCCAUGCGUAGGUUGCACAGAUACGACUCAAAGUUUAUGCAUCGGUGGUCGGAUACCUCCACCGUCCGCCACUGCCUCGCACAGGACUCCAGGUCAGUUUCCCCUCUUCCCAUCUCAAUCGCUCGCUUCUUCUUGUCCUCUCGUAGAUUGGUUUUGCUGGCCUGGGGCGGCGGGUGUGGCUGGGCCGCCGGGAACCAGUGCCGGUCAUCGGAAUCCAGGUCUCAAGGAAGCUCCUGCACUCUGCAAUCCUUGAUUGAUUUGGAUUAAUUAUUUGUAAUGACUAUCCAGUACAUACAUGCCUGCUGUUUCUUUUUUGGAGAUAGCAAAGUUUCAUGUUCUUCUUUAGUACGUACAUGAAUUUGUCUUGCUACGGUGCUACCUAGGCCAUCCUGCCAAAUCUUUCUUCAAUACACUCAUGUGCAAGGCCACAUGCAUGAUUCGAUCUCGGUAAUUUGGCACGAAAUAUUGAUUGUAGAUUCUAAAACACCUUAAUUGAAUUGGAUGAAUCACUGUUUAGUUGUACUGGACUGGCUAUCGUAGUUCCGCUCUAUCACUUUCUCUUCUUGCAGGUAAUUGAAUUGUAUAUUUCCCAUCUCGAGGACGCGAGGCGAGAUGCAGUCCGUCGCCCUCGAAAACCAGCUGCCACAAGGCGGAGCAGAGGCCACAGAGAGCUCGGUAAUGGGGCGUUCAGCAUCCAGGGAGCCAGGCCGGAGGAGACGCCACUGAGGGAGUGGUCUUCGACCUCCAGCAUCCAGGGAGCCUGGCUGGAGCCAAGUCCGUCGGCGGCUCAGUCGCCCUCCCAAAUCUAAGUGAGCGGCCUAAUCCGUAGGCGCGUUCUGGAUGGACGCCCACCACUCCGUGCCGCCACUACCCCUGCCAUCCGUGCUAUGAAGAAGACCAACAUCACAAUUUUUCUUGAGCAUUGGAACAAUCUGCAUCUUGAAAAGAUAAAAGCACAGAAGGUACUAAAGGGGGUGUCCUGCACAACCAGUACGCGGCUGUUGUUACGUAUAUAACAGAGUUUCUAGAAGAUGUCUGGGCACGGCGCCUUAUAUGAACUUCUCUUCAAAAUUUCUUUGAGAGGCUUCUUAACGAGUGGAUGAGCUGGAUGAUAUGGAGAAGCGGAAGGCAAACGGGGAGUCAAUGUUUGCAAUGCUCAAGUAGUGUCACGGUAUUUCAGUCCCAUGUUCCAGUUUUGUAGGAAAAAGGCGAGAAUCUUCCAGUCUCUGUGUGAUACUUUUUUCUUAUAAUUUCAAAUUAAAGUACUUGUGCAAAAAUGGACAAAUAACCGAAAGAAUGGGGUAAAUUAGGAUUUGAAAUUA